Molecule: long non-coding RNA, 1133 nt
Organism: Nilaparvata lugens (brown planthopper)
Lineage: Eukaryota; Metazoa; Arthropoda; Insecta; Hemiptera; Delphacidae
Exons: 4
Source: RefSeq, a predicted model, not a curated record
CUGUAUGGUGUGUGCAUGUGUGCGUGUAUGCGCUUCAUAAAAUUGAAAAGACAGCAGAGCAGAGCAGAGCAAGCCGAUCAUCUACUAGUAAUAUUGGAUAAUUGCCAAUUGUGACUUGUUUUUAUUUUGUUGAAUGUGGAUGUGGAAUGACAAUAGCGGAGCAAGGGUGGAGGUGACAGAGUACUACAACUGUUGGAGGGGGAUUUCUGAAUUAGCGGGGAAGGCCUGUCGAUGGUACUGAUCUCUCAUAGCGAGUUGAAGAACUAUCUGUUAGCACAGAGGAAAGAAACACUACUUAAAUAUGCUUAUUCCAUGCUGUUAGUCACCCAUUUUACCCCCCUCCGCACCCACUCAACACUGCUGGUCACCCAUUAAGCGCAACAUUAGAUGAGUUCUCUGUCCUCUUCUCUGUGGUAUAAUCUAGAAUAAUAAUAUUAUUGUCGAUUGACUAGGAAUAUCGAUACCAUAUUGAAGUAUCGAAGCAUGAUAGUCAAUAUGUUGUCUGUUGAGUCGAGUCAUCAAGCCGUUACCCGUCCGGCCUUUUGAAACAUUAAAAUUUAUGAAGAAAACAAAUAAAAAUGAAUUUUCAUUUGGUAUAACCCUUUAAUAUUGCAUAAAGCAUAAUCAUAGCAUAUGCUAUAUUAUUUGCGAGUGCAUAAAUAUUAAUUAAUUCAAGACUACAGGCAUCGUCUACUGAAAAUAAGGUCCACCUUGUAUGAUGUGACUAUCUUAUUCAAUAUUUCUGGUUUUGAGGAAAGCAUUUGCCAAUCAUGUCAAACGUCUACCUUGUAUGAUGUGACUAUCUUCUUAUUCAAUAUUUGUGGUUUUGAGGAAAGCAUUUGCCCAUCAUAUCAAUUAUCAUGUUACUGAGGACAGUGGAUAAAAUUGAUAUGGUGUUUUGUUACCAUGCUAUGGGAGGGUAAUGGUGGAUGAGUGAGGGAUGACACUAACAGGACAAUAAGAAUCGCGUUUGAGAGAACUGAAAUGCAUUCUAAGCUAGUAUUUCAUCUUAGCCAAGUAUUCAAGUUUAUGAAACUACUGUCUGUAAGACAGGCAUCACGAUGUAAGCAAAUACAGUUGUAGCAAAUAAUAUUAUAUCUUUGAUAAAUAAAAUUAAUUUGAAUUUAUUCGAA